Molecule: transfer RNA, 72 nt
Filed under: Rioraja agassizii (Rio skate)
Lineage: Eukaryota; Metazoa; Chordata; Chondrichthyes; Rajiformes; Arhynchobatidae
Also listed under: 1 other name
Description: tRNA-Thr
Rfam family: tRNA
About the family: Transfer RNA (tRNA) molecules are approximately 80 nucleotides in length. Their secondary structure includes four short double-helical elements and three loops (D, anti-codon, and T loops). Further hydrogen bonds mediate the characteristic L-shaped molecular structure. tRNAs have two regions of fundamental functional importance: the anti-codon, which is responsible for specific mRNA codon recognition, and the 3' end, to which the tRNAs corresponding amino acid is attached (by aminoacyl-tRNA synthetases). tRNAs cope with the degeneracy of the genetic code in two manners: having more than one tRNA (with a specific anti-codon) for a particular amino acid; and 'wobble' base-pairing, i.e. permitting non-standard base-pairing at the 3rd anti-codon position.
Source: RNAcentral
GUUUUCGUGGCCAAAAAUCAAAGCGUCGGUCUUGUAAGCCGAAGACUGGAGGUGAAACCCCUCCCCAAAACA